RNAcentral lists this ribosomal RNA (253 nucleotides) under uncultured bacterium. RNAcentral's name for it is "partial 16S ribosomal RNA". It matches the Rfam family "Bacterial small subunit ribosomal RNA", at positions 524 to 776 of the family's 1533-position model. The record is from RNAcentral.
UACAGAGGUCUCAACCGUUGUUCGGAUUCAUUGGGCGUAAAGGGUGCGUAGGCGGUCGCGUAAGUCAGGUGUGAAAUCCCGGGGCUCAACCCCGGAACUGCACUUGAUACUGCGUGGCCAGGGUACUGGAGAGGAGACUGGAAUUUACGGUGUAGCAGUGAAAUGCGUAGAUAUCGUAAGGAAGACCAGUGGCGAAGGCGAGUCUCUGGACAGUUACCGACGCUGAGGCACGAAGGCCAGGGGAGCAAACGGG